Long non-coding RNA from Oncorhynchus mykiss (rainbow trout), 1624 nucleotides. The record is from Ensembl. NCBI's taxonomy places the organism in Eukaryota, Metazoa, Chordata, Actinopteri, Salmoniformes, Salmonidae.
ACAUUGGUAUACUACAUUGGGAGUGAUGCAUGUGAGGAAGGAAAGUAGAUUUAAAUCACUAGUUUCAGCUGGAGCCUCAUAGGAGUCUCUCUGACUGAGAAUAAACACUCAAAUCAUCUUGGAUUCAUUAUCAACUGAUCUUUUCAUUUUCCUUUCCUUCCUCGCCCUACUGGAGUCACAAAGGCUUUCUUUGUUUCUCUAUUUCUGCUGAGCUCUCUGUGUCCUGCGCAACUUCAUUUGUUUGCUUCUUUCUUUUUUUUGUUCUCUCUUCUCUCAAUGUAUUGAUGGUCUAAAAUGAUCUCAUCUACCCACACAAUCUCAUACGUUGACCACAUGUGGCUUACAGUAACACGCCCAUGCACGCAUACACAUGAAUACACACACACACACACACACACACACACACACACACACACACACAAGGAGACAGUUCAUGCUGCGCAAGAGACAGCUCAGCACACAACUACCUUCCACCUUCAGCAGAAGACCUGGCCCAGAUGUCUGAAUGUAGAACUCAAGAAGAUCCACUUGUCAUGGCCAGAAGCAAAGGAAGCAGCUGGAAAGACCUGCAGAGUUGGGAAACAUUAGUACAAGCCCCAUGUUCCUCCAUAAAUGAAGUGAAUUAAGUGAGUAAGUCAGUCAGUUAAAGUCUUUAGCUGUCCUCCUACGUGGCUGGCUUGCCCCUCUGUCUGGCUGUGGUAUAGAUGGAUGAGCUGCAGUGGGAGGUCCGUCAGCAGGCUCAGCAAAGAAUCACCCAUCUUGCAUGCGUAUGGACUUUGAUGUUGGUUCCAAACUUUUGGAUACCCUUUACCAUGCUUUGACUGCUUUUGAAUGGAUUUACUUGGAGGGGUCUGUGCACAAAAAAAGGGUUCCCUCUCUCCAAAAAAAACGUUGACUUUCAUUUCUUAGAUUCAUAACAUAUUAUCUAAUGUUUUUUUUCCCAUAAGCCUUUUUUUCUGCAAAAUCACACUCAUCCAACCUUAAGCAAGCUUAAAGCCUACUGCUCAAAGAGAGGGCAAAGAGGGAUGGGCUAUCAAUUGAUCAUAGCGAAUACAGAAUCAGCUAAUUAGCUAGCUAGCUAGCAGCGGUGUAAAGUACUUAAGUAAAAAUUCUUGAAAGUACUACUUAAGUCGUUUUUGGGGGGUAUCUGUACUUUACUAUUUAUAUAUUUGGCAACUUUUACUUCUACUUCUUUACAUUCCUAAAGACAAUCAUGUGCUUUUUACUCCAUACAUUUUCCCUGACACCCAAAAGUAAAUUUUGACAGGGAAAUGUUCCAAAUUCACAAAUUCAUCAAGAGAACAUCCCUGGUCCUUCCUAGUGCCUCUGACCUGGCAGACUAACUAAACACAAAUGCUUCAUUUGUAAAUUUUGUCUGAGUGUUGGAGUGUGCCCCUGGCUAUCGUUCAAUAAAAAAUAAAUUGCACAAUCUGGUUUGCUUACUAUAAGGAAUUUGAAAUGUUUUACACUUUUACUUUUGAUUCUUAAGUAUAUGUGAAACCAAAUACUUUUAGACUUUUACUCAAGAGGUAUUUUACUGGGUGACUUUCAUUUUUACUUUUCAUUUUCUAUUCAUUAAGGUAUCUUUACUUUUACUCAAGUAUGACAAUUGAGUACUUUUUCC